RNAcentral lists this ribosomal RNA (253 nucleotides) under uncultured bacterium. RNAcentral describes it as "partial 16S ribosomal RNA". It matches the Rfam family "Bacterial small subunit ribosomal RNA", at positions 524 to 776 of the family's 1533-position model. The record is from RNAcentral.
UACGUAGGGUGCAAGCGUUGUCCGGAAUUAUUGGGCGUAAAGAGCUCGUAGGCGGUCUGUCGCGUCGGCUGUGAAAACCCGGAGCUCAACUCCGGGCCUGCAGUCGAUACGGGCAAACUGGAGUGUUGCAGGGGAGACUGGAAUUCCUGGUGUAGCGGUGAAAUGCGCAGAUAUCAGGAGGAACACCGGUGGCGAAGGCGGGUCUCUGGGCCGUAACUGACGCUGAGGAGCGAAAGCAUGGGGAGCGAACAGG